CCUACGGGUGACAGCAGUGAGGAAUAUUGGUCAAUGGACGAGAGUCUGAACCAGCCAAGUAGCGUGAAGGAUGACUGCCCUAUGGGUUGUAAACUUCUUUUAUAUGGGAAUAAAACGUUCCACGUGUGUGAUUUUGUAGGUACCAUAUGAAUAAGGAUCGGCUAACUCCGUGCCAGCAGCCGCGGUAAUACGGAGGAUCCGAGCGUUAUCCGGAUUUAUUGGGUUUAAAGGGCGCGUAGGUGGAUUGUUAAGUCAGUUGUGAAAGUUUGCGGCUCAACCUGAAAAUUGCAGUUGAAACUGGCAGUCUUGAGUACAGUAGAGGUGGGCGGAAUUCGUGGUGUAGCGGUGAAAUGCUUAGAUAUCACGAAGAACUCCGAUUGCGAAGGCAGUUCACUGGACUGCAACUGACACUGAGGCUCGAAAGUGUGGGUAUCAAACAGGAUUAGAUACCCUAGUAGUC
This 460-nucleotide ribosomal RNA is filed under the name uncultured bacterium. RNAcentral describes it as "partial 16S ribosomal RNA". It matches the Rfam family "Bacterial small subunit ribosomal RNA", at positions 338 to 795 of the family's 1533-position model. The record is from RNAcentral.